GAUGAAGAACGCAGCGAAAUGCGAUAAGUAAUGCGAAUUGCAGAAUUUCCGUGAGUCAUCGAAUCUUUGAACGCACAUUGCGCCCUCUGGUAUUCCGGGGGGCAUGCCUGUUCGAGCGUCAUUAUAACCACUCAAGCUCUCGCUUGGUAUUGGGGUUCGCGGUUCCGCGGCCCCUAAAAUCAGUGGCGGUGCCUGUCGGCUCUACGCGUAGUAAUACUCCUCGCGAUUGAGUCCGGUAGGUCUACUUGCCAGCAACCCCCAAUUUUUACAGGUUGACCUCGGAUCAGGUAGGGAUACCCGCUGAACUUAAGCAUAUCAAUAAGCGGAGGA
RNAcentral lists this unclassified non-coding RNA (330 nucleotides) under soil metagenome. RNAcentral describes it as "partial contains 5.8S ribosomal RNA, internal transcribed spacer 2, and large subunit ribosomal RNA". The stretch from base 1 to 121 matches the Rfam family "5.8S ribosomal RNA", at positions 35 to 154 of the family's 154-position model. The record is from RNAcentral.